UGAGAAAUGGUGACAGAACUGGAGCUAUGU
RNAcentral lists this non-coding RNA (30 nucleotides) under Rattus norvegicus (Norway rat). The record is from RNAcentral. Lineage: Eukaryota; Metazoa; Chordata; Mammalia; Rodentia; Muridae.